Molecule: ribosomal RNA, 517 nt
Filed under: uncultured bacterium
Lineage: Bacteria
Description: bacterial SSU rRNA
Rfam family: Bacterial small subunit ribosomal RNA
Source: RNAcentral
GACGAACGCUGGCGGCGUGCCUAAUACAUGCAAGUCGAGCGAAGUUUUUCUGGUGCUUGCACUAGAAAAACUUAGCGGCGAACGGGUGAGUAACACGUAAAGAACCUGCCUCAUAGACGGGGACAACUAUUGGAAACGAUAGCUAAUACCGGAUAACAGCAUAAAUCGCAUGAUAUAUGUUUAAAAGUUGGUUUCGGCUAACACUAUGAGAUGGCUUUGCGGUGCAUUAGCUAGUUGGUGGGGUAAAGGCCUACCAAGGCGACGAUGCAUAGCCGACCUGAGAGGGUGAUCGGCCACACUGGGACUGAGACACGGCCCAGACUCCUACGGGAGGCAGCAGUAGGGAAUCUUCCGCAAUGGGCGAAAGCCUGACGGAGCAACGCCGCGUGAGUGAAGAAGGAUUUCGGUUCGUAAAGCUCUGUUGUUAGGGAAGAAUGAUUGUAUAGUAACUAUAUACAGUAGAGACGGUACCUAACCAGAAAGCCACGGCUAACUACGUGCCAGCAGCCGCGGUAAU